Molecule: unclassified non-coding RNA, 815 nt
Filed under: Drosophila ananassae
Lineage: Eukaryota; Metazoa; Arthropoda; Insecta; Diptera; Drosophilidae
Description: GF26413
Source: RNAcentral
UAAAAUAAUAACGAGAUAAUUAAAUUGCAAUUAAGAAAGUGAAUCACAAAAGAUAAUCGAUUAAGUGAAGUGCAUAAAGAGGUUAAGAUUGCCUUUUCUUGCCUUUUUCAUUUUUUUUUCGAGUGGAAUAAGGAAGAGGAAGAGAAUAUGAAGUGGAAAGGUGCUUAGGGAGUGGAAUUUAUUUAACGAAGAACAGUGGAAGCAUAAAAUGCUUAAAGAUAUACCGUUAACUGAUGAAUGAAAAAUAAUUGGAGCUUUGGAAAUUGGAAAGGAUGGACCCUGUUUUGAGGCAUAAAAUGCUUAAAAGAACUGCCACUAAUUGGAUAAAAACCGGGCCACCCUAAACAUUUUGGCCGUCAAGUAGAAAUUGAAUGGAAGAAUGGCGGCAAAGGAGGGGAGGUGGGAAAUCAAAAAUCCCGUUACCUAAGCCGCGUAACAAGCAGAGAAUGUCAAUGUAAAUGCAAAUGCAAAUGUUUGCCGUCAUCGAGUCGAGGUCGGAGGUCAAGCCGAAAAUGUUCGGAAUGGCGGGCGUCCAAAAAAAAAACUCAACGUUAAUAAACUCAGAAGAGGGGCGUGGUGUUGGCGGCGGGGUGGGGCAGGCUCGAUUUACAUGAGCAAACAGAAGCGGAGAGAGAGAGCACAUAGCAUGUGAGUCUGGCUCGGGCUCCACUUGCCCAAGUCCCGCUAUUCUCCCGAUGGAAGGAAAUGGAAGGAGUAAUGGAAGUGUUCUGGCACCAUAUUGCGGCCGCUUAUCUGCCAGUGGCAGCUCUCUCCGGUGGCAGCUCUCUGGAAGCAAAUCCGAAUCAAAAACUGGA